UGGAUAGCUCAGACGGGUAGAGCAAUGGACUUGUACUCCAUGUGUCGCGGGUUCGAUUCCCGCUCCAA
This 68-nucleotide transfer RNA is filed under the name Luteimonas viscosa. RNAcentral's name for it is "Luteimonas sp. XBU10 tRNA-Thr". It matches the Rfam family "tRNA". Rfam says of the family: Transfer RNA (tRNA) molecules are approximately 80 nucleotides in length. Their secondary structure includes four short double-helical elements and three loops (D, anti-codon, and T loops). The record is from RNAcentral. Lineage: Bacteria; Pseudomonadati; Pseudomonadota; Gammaproteobacteria; Lysobacterales; Lysobacteraceae.